GAAGGAACCAAACCUACUUUCAGAUUGAUGUUGGAUUUCAAGCCUCCAGAGCCGACAAACUGAGACAGAGCCACCACAUUGGUGUUAUAUGCAAAGAGCAAAAGGAACCUUUCAUCUACAUCAUGACACGAGUUUUGACAGAGGAAAAACAGAAGACUAGAAAGGUUUGUCUAUACCAGUGAUGGCAAAUCUUUCAGAGCUUUCAAGGAUACAAACAGCCUGCUGUGAUGAUGUUACCUGCGUGUGGGGGACCCUAGAGGAUGUUGUAUGUCUUAGAAAACCUACUAUAUGGCUGACACUUGGAGAAAAAAUUGAAAAUGCAUGUGCAUUGAUUUCAUUGACCAAAGUUACCAAAGCAGCAAUUCCCUAAACUAAUACACAUCUGGAAGCUGAUGGCCACCACCUUGACCACCUCUUGUAAUUGUAAAAACCAAAGGUAAUUUGUAUUACUCUCAUGAUGUCUCAAUAA
Molecule: long non-coding RNA, 469 nt
Organism: Chinchilla lanigera (long-tailed chinchilla)
Lineage: Eukaryota; Metazoa; Chordata; Mammalia; Rodentia; Chinchillidae
Exons: 3
Source: RefSeq, a predicted model, not a curated record